RNAcentral lists this ribosomal RNA (2809 nucleotides) under Staphylococcus aureus. RNAcentral describes it as "23S ribosomal RNA". It matches the Rfam family "Bacterial large subunit ribosomal RNA". The record is from RNAcentral. Lineage: Bacteria; Bacillati; Bacillota; Bacilli; Caryophanales; Staphylococcaceae.
CGAAUGGGGAAACCCAGCAUGAGUUAUGUCAUGUUAUCGAUAUGUGAAUACAUAGCAUAUCAGAAGGCACACCCGGAGAACUGAAACAUCUUAGUAACCGGAGGAAGAGAAAGAAAAUUCGAUUCCCUUAGUAGCGGCGAGCGAAACGGGAAGAGCCCAAACCAACAAGCUUGCUUGUUGGGGUUGUAGGACACUCUAUACGGAGUUACAAAGGACGACAUUAGACGAAUCAUCUGGAAAGAUGAAUCAAAGAAGGUAAUAAUCCUGUAGUCGAAAAUGUUGUCUCUCUUGAGUGGAUCCUGAGUACGACGGAGCACGUGAAAUUCCGUCGGAAUCUGGGAGGACCAUCUCCUAAGGCUAAAUACUCUCUAGUGACCGAUAGUGAACCAGUACCGUGAGGGAAAGGUGAAAAGCACCCCGGAAGGGGAGUGAAAUAGAACCUGAAACCGUGUGCUUACAAGUAGUCAGAGCCCGUUAAUGGGUGAUGGCGUGCCUUUUGUAGAAUGAACCGGCGAGUUACGAUUUGAUGCAAGGUUAAGCAGUAAAUGUGGAGCCGUAGCGAAAGCGAGUCUGAAUAGGGCGUUUAGUAUUUGGUCGUAGACCCGAAACCAGGUGAUCUACCCUUGGUCAGGUUGAAGUUCAGGUAACACUGAAUGGAGGACCGAACCGACUUACGUUGAAAAGUGAGCGGAUGAACUGAGGGUAGCGGAGAAAUUCCAAUCGAACCUGGAGAUAGCUGGUUCUCUCCGAAAUAGCUUUAGGGCUAGCCUCAAGUGAUGAUUAUUGGAGGUAGAGCACUGUUUGGACGAGGGGCCCCUCUCGGGUUACCGAAUUCAGACAAACUCCGAAUGCCAAUUAAUUUAACUUGGGAGUCAGAACAUGGGUGAUAAGGUCCGUGUUCGAAAGGGAAACAGCCCAGACCACCAGCUAAGGUCCCAAAAUAUAUGUUAAGUGGAAAAGGAUGUGGCGUUGCCCAGACAACUAGGAUGUUGGCUUAGAAGCAGCCAUCAUUUAAAGAGUGCGUAAUAGCUCACUAGUCGAGUGACACUGCGCCGAAAAUGUACCGGGGCUAAACAUAUUACCGAAGCUGUGGAUUGUCCUUUGGACAAUGGUAGGAGAGCGUUCUAAGGGCGUUGAAGCAUGAUCGUAAGGACAUGUGGAGCGCUUAGAAGUGAGAAUGCCGGUGUGAGUAGCGAAAGACGGGUGAGAAUCCCGUCCACCGAUUGACUAAGGUUUCCAGAGGAAGGCUCGUCCGCUCUGGGUUAGUCGGGUCCUAAGCUGAGGCCGACAGGCGUAGGCGAUGGAUAACAGGUUGAUAUUCCUGUACCACCUAUAAUCGUUUUAAUCGAUGGGGGGACGCAGUAGGAUAGGCGAAGCGUGCGAUUGGAUUGCACGUCUAAGCAGUAAGGCUGAGUAUUAGGCAAAUCCGGUACUCGUUAAGGCUGAGCUGUGAUGGGGAGAAGACAUUGUGUCUUCGAGUCGUUGAUUUCACACUGCCGAGAAAAGCCUCUAGAUAGAAAAUAGGUGCCCGUACCGCAAACCGACACAGGUAGUCAAGAUGAGAAUUCUAAGGUGAGCGAGCGAACUCUCGUUAAGGAACUCGGCAAAAUGACCCCGUAACUUCGGGAGAAGGGGUGCUCUUUAGGGUUAACGCCCAGAAGAGCCGCAGUGAAUAGGCCCAAGCGACUGUUUAUCAAAAACACAGGUCUCUGCUAAACCGUAAGGUGAUGUAUAGGGGCUGACGCCUGCCCGGUGCUGGAAGGUUAAGAGGAGUGGUUAGCUUCUGCGAAGCUACGAAUCGAAGCCCCAGUAAACGGCGGCCGUAACUAUAACGGUCCUAAGGUAGCGAAAUUCCUUGUCGGGUAAGUUCCGACCCGCACGAAAGGCGUAACGAUUUGGGCACUGUCUCAACGAGAGACUCGGUGAAAUCAUAGUACCUGUGAAGAUGCAGGUUACCCGCGACAGGACGGAAAGACCCCGUGGAGCUUUACUGUAGCCUGAUAUUGAAAUUCGGCACAGCUUGUACAGGAUAGGUAGGAGCCUUUGAAACGUGAGCGCUAGCUUACGUGGAGGCGCUGGUGGGAUACUACCCUAGCUGUGUUGGNUUUCUAACCCGCACCACUUAUCGUGGUGGGAGACAGUGUCAGGCGGGCAGUUUGACUGGGGCGGUCGCCUCCUAAAAGGUAACGGAGGCGCUCAAAGGUUCCCUCAGAAUGGUUGGAAAUCAUUCAUAGAGUGUAAAGGCAUAAGGGAGCUUGACUGCGAGACCUACAAGUCGAGCAGGGUCGAAAGACGGACUUAGUGAUCCGGUGGUUCCGCAUGGAAGGGCCAUCGCUCAACGGAUAAAAGCUACCCCGGGGAUAACAGGCUUAUCUCCCCCAAGAGUUCACAUCGACGGGGAGGUUUGGCACCUCGAUGUCGGCUCAUCGCAUCCUGGGGCUGUAGUCGGUCCCAAGGGUUGGGCUGUUCGCCCAUUAAAGCGGUACGCGAGCUGGGUUCAGAACGUCGUGAGACAGUUCGGUCCCUAUCCGUCGUGGGCGUAGGAAAUUUGAGAGGAGCUGUCCUUAGUACGAGAGGACCGGGAUGGACAUACCUCUGGUGUACCAGUUGUCGUGCCAACGGCAUAGCUGGGUAGCUAUGUGUGGACGGGAUAAGUGCUGAAAGCAUCUAAGCAUGAAGCCCCCCUCAAGAUGAGAUUUCCCAACUUCGGUUAUAAGAUCCCUCAAAGAUGAUGAGGUUAAUAGGUUCGAGGUGGAAGCAUGGUGACAUGUGGAGCUGACGAAUACUAAUCGAUCGAAGACUUAAUCAA